This 392-nucleotide ribosomal RNA is filed under the name uncultured bacterium. RNAcentral describes it as "partial 16S ribosomal RNA". It matches the Rfam family "Bacterial small subunit ribosomal RNA", at positions 523 to 918 of the family's 1533-position model. The record is from RNAcentral.
AUACGGAGGAUGCAAGCGUUAUCCGGAUUUAUUGGGUUUAAAGGGUGCGCAGGCGGCCAUUUAAGUCAGCGGUUAAAUCGUGGGGCUCAACCCCAUUCUGCCGUUGAUACUGGGUGGCUUGAUUGCGGUCGAGGUUGGCGGAAUUCGUUGUGUAGCGGUGAAAUGCAUAGAUAUGACGAAGAACACCGAUUGCGUAGGCAGCUGACCAGACCGCAAAUGACGCUCAUGCACGAAAGUGCGGGGAUCGAACAGGAUUAGAUACCCUGGUAGUCCGCACAGUAAACGAUGAAUACUUGUUUUCGGCGAUAUAAUGUCGGAGGCAAAGCGAAAGCGAUAAGUAUUCCACCUGGGGAGUACGCCGGCAACGGUGAAACUCAAAUGAAUUGACGGGG